This 337-nucleotide ribosomal RNA is filed under the name uncultured Pseudomonadota bacterium. RNAcentral's name for it is "bacterial SSU rRNA". It matches the Rfam family "Bacterial small subunit ribosomal RNA", at positions 29 to 351 of the family's 1533-position model. Lineage: Bacteria; Pseudomonadati; Pseudomonadota. The record is from RNAcentral.
AACGAACGUUAGCGGCGCGCUUAACACAUGCAAGUCGAGCGAGAAAGGGCUUCGGCCCCGGUACAGCGGCGCACGGGUGAGUAACACGUAGGUAAUCUGCCCCCAGGUGGUGGAUAACCUUCCGAAAGGAGGGCUAAUACAGCAUAAGACCACGGUUCCGAAAGGGAUUGAGGUCAAAGCCGGCCUCUUCAUGAAAGCUGGCGCCAGGGGAUGAGCCUGCGGCCCAUCAGCUAGUUGGUAGGGUAAUGGCCUACCAAGGCGUAGACGGGUAGCUGGUCUGAGAGGAUGAUCAGCCACACUGGAACUGAGACACGGUCCAGACUCCUACGGGAGGCAG